UGGGGAAUAUUGGACAAUGGGCGCGAGCCUGAUCCAGCCAUGCCGCGUGAGUGAUGAAGGCCCUAGGGUUGUAAAGCUCUUUCACCGGUGAAGAUAAUGACGGUAACCGGAGAAGAAGCCCCGGCUAACUUCGUGCCAGCAGCCGCGGUAAUACGAAGGGGGCUAGCGUUGUUCGGAUUUACUGGGCGUAAAGCGCACGUAGGCGGACUUUUAAGUCAGGGGUGAAAUCCCGGGGCUCAACCCCGGAACUGCCUUUGAUACUGGAAGUCUUGAGUAUGGUAGAGGUGAGUGGAAUUCCGAGUGUAGAGGUGAAAUUCGUAGAUAUUCGGAGGAACACCAGUGGCGAAGGCGGCUCACUGGACCAUUACUGACGCUGAGGUGCGAAAGCGUGGGGAGCAAACAGG
RNAcentral lists this ribosomal RNA (404 nucleotides) under Pseudomonas sp. RNAcentral describes it as "partial 16S ribosomal RNA". It matches the Rfam family "Bacterial small subunit ribosomal RNA", at positions 355 to 776 of the family's 1533-position model. Lineage: Bacteria; Pseudomonadati; Pseudomonadota; Gammaproteobacteria; Pseudomonadales; Pseudomonadaceae. The record is from RNAcentral. RNAcentral also lists the same sequence under 2 other names.